This 484-nucleotide ribosomal RNA is filed under the name uncultured bacterium. RNAcentral's name for it is "partial 16S ribosomal RNA". It matches the Rfam family "Bacterial small subunit ribosomal RNA", at positions 30 to 507 of the family's 1533-position model. The record is from RNAcentral.
AUUGAACGCUGGCGGCAGGCCUAACACAUGCAAGUCGAGCGGAUGAAGGGAGCUUGCUCCUGGAUUCAGCGGCGGACGGGUGAGUAAUGCCUAGGAAUCUGCCUGGUAGUGGGGGAUAACGUCCGGAAACGGGCGCUAAUACCGCAUACGUCCUGAGGGAGCAAGUGGGGGAUCUUCGGACCUCACGCUCUCAGAUGAGCCUAGGUCGGAUUAGCUAGUUGGUGGGGUAAAGGCCUACCAAGGCGACGAUCCGUAACUGGUCUGAGAGGGUGAUCAGUCACACUGGAACUGAGACACGGUCCAGACUCCUACGGGAGGCAGCAGUGGGGAAUAUUGGACAAUGGGCGAAAGCCUGAUCCAGCCAUGCCGCGUGUGUGAAGAAGGUCUUCGGAUUGUAAAGCACUUUAAGUUGGGAGGAAGGGCAGUAAGUUAAUACCUUGCUGUUUUGACGUUACCAACAGAAUAAGCACCGGCUAACUUCGUG